CAUAAUUAAUCAACCAUAAUACCUAGACAUAGGGAGCAGUUCAACUGCUUCGGGAUGGUCACCACCCACCUUUUAUAGCGUUCCGUUUGCUCGUCGUCACUCGCAAUCGGCCUCCCGCGGCGCACGCCGCUCGGCUCGACCCAACUCACGCGCGACCACCGAACGACCUCCGAUCUGCAAUCCGGAAAUUAAAUGUCUUCGGUUUCUCGUUAUGAUACUCGGAACCCGAUCCCGCGAUUUAUGGAUGCCACCUCGGCCCUCCAGGCGGAAAUGAAUGCCGGAAGGUCCUUUUCUUCAAUAUCUUUGCACCGGCUCGACGAAUCGCCGAACCGACUUUGCCAACGUGUCAGAAUAUCUAGCAAUUAGGUUUACAACCAUCCAAAUGAGAUCAAAACCCUAGAUUUCCUAAAACCCCAUUUUAGAGCCCUAGUUUACAACUACGGCAAAAUCCACCGUUAAUCCUCUAGAUUCUAGCAUUUAUCAUCUAUUUAGCAUGCUAAGAUUCCAAAUAAACUAUUUCUAGAGAUUAAAAUCCAAGCUCUAGUGAUUCACCAUUAAUGAGCAUCAAAGCUUACCUCAACUAAGCUUCUUCUCCAAGCAAAGGAAGAAGAAGAUGAUAGAAACCCUUCUCCAAGCUCCAAUCUCCACCCUUCUCCUCCUCUUGAUCAACUUCUACAGAGAGAGGAAGCUUCCUAGAGAAAGAGAGGGUGUUCUUUUAGGUCUAGGUCAUGAGAAAUGAGAGGGAGAAGAGAACACUUGCUCCUAUACUCUCUCAUAAGUGCACAAAUUGCACAAAAGACCUUCAACUCUCCAAAUAAUGCCCUGCCCCCGCGGGGCCAUUUUUUGUAUAAGGGACCGGUCCUUGGACUUGAGGGACCGGUCCCCGUAGGUCCAGAAAAAUAGCAUUUUAGGACUUAGCAAAAUUUUCAGCUUUUUCACCCUUUCUUUUCCGUUUUCGCUCGUUUAGCCUCCGAUUCUUUUCAAAUCGAACUGAGACUCUCCAAACAUGUUUUCGAGCGUGUUUUCAUCAUAUUUUUAUCCACGCUAACGCCAGAUUUAGUUCACGACCCAACAUAGCCUUUCGGGUCCCUCUUUGCGCCUACGCACACCAAAGCGCCCGACUGCUUCCGGACUUAACCGGAACUUCACCGGAACCAUUCUAAUGGCUCUCCAACCAAAUGUACACCGUAACUUCAUGAUUUUAGAAGUCUGGUACCUUACAUCCUCCCCUCUUUAAAAGGAGUUUUGUCCCCGAAACUAACCACCUCAAAUCUAACACACACAUCAACUCAACUUAUUGAGUAAUCGAGGGUUCCAAUGCACUUUCGCACUCCGGGGUGGCCUUUCACUCAUCAGAGCUAUCCAAAGGCCCACUCUGGAGGAUGUGAGAUCAAGUUCACUCAUAUUUGCUAAGUAGAACAUCGAAAGUGCAUUACUAGCACACAAGGAAUCUCUCCUUGCACUACUCUCCUAAUCGAGGAACACUCCGAUUCGAUCACUGACAUUGCCCAGAAGCAAUAUCAUUGGUGCAUCGAUCAAUCGCGAGUGCUACCAUCACAUCCGGAUCUUUGCUCUACUACGAGAUGGCACACUUCGGCACAUCUCCAAUGUUAAUCCUCAAGAGAGCAAUAUUUUGAAUUCUAUGUGGCUAUCCGGUAUUCAAGUGUCUCCAAGAGACCACUUUACCUUAUCUUUCAAUUGCCACUUCCAACAUCAAAUCGCUCUACAACGAACUCACACGAACACUCUGUCUGCAAAUCCAAACCAAACUCCUCGACAGAGUUAUUGGCCAAACCGAUAACCUCGGUUUCCACAUGUGGACCAACAGUCACUAACUUUACUCAAGCCUAUAGCCUAACCGUCUCGACACUCGUAACGUCUCUCCAACCACAUGUGGUCAACGCUUGCAAGCGUUGACCAAAUCAUAACUGGGCGAAAUUCUCACUUUGGAAUUUGCACACACUCCGAUCAGGAGCAACUAAGACCUCAAACCGCUACAAUUCAUCGGGUUGGGUCACUAUCGCACCCUUAACGCAUGCUCGAUCUCGAGAUCCAACACGUGGCAUCUCUCGCUCCCGAAUCUAAGCUCGGACUACUGCCCUUCUCAAUUCGAGGUAGGCAUCGCGCUACCACCACUCAUGCAUGCUAGGGUAACCACACCGACCCAUGCCUUGGUCUCUACUAUGCUUAUGAACAAAUAGUAGCAAACGACCACAACUACAAUGCAUGUAAUGCACUUAUUUAAUAUCAUGCAAAGGUACAUACUUGCUUCAACUAAACCAUACCUGCCAUGACAUCAUUCGCAGCAGUAGGCUCCUCAACUUGGGCGGCAUACACCCGCCCACUUGGAGCAGAUCGGGUCGCCUCAGGCCGACGUGGCACCAAAGCACGUCCAGCCGACCCAACCAUAGGUGGGGCUCCUCCAUAAUGGCCUGGAAUUGCCGGAGCCGAUGCGACAGACAGGGAAACCAAAGCCUUUCUUGGGCAAUCAUAGGCCAUGUGGCCCGCCUGGCCGGAUUCAUAACAUCUCCCACGGCAAUGCUCACAUUGCGUCAUUCGGUGGUCUCCACCACAAAAGACGCACCACUGCACUUCACGGCCCUCGGGCCGUUCUCGCGGGUACUUCGGGGGCUUCUUGGAACCCGAUUGACCUCCAGAACCACCGCCGGUCCGCCUCUUUCCCUUUUCCUUCUCGAACUCUUCGCGCUCCUCGAGAAUGCACACAUUGCCGUGCUCGACCCACAGAGCACGGUCCAACACCUCCGCGAACGUAUGAAACUUGAAGGCAUGCACCAAUCAGAAAACAUCGAGCCGGAGUCCCCGCACGAAACACUCUGCCCGGUCCUGCUCGAUCCUAACCAUAUCCGGCACGCAGUUCAGGAUAUAUGUGAACUCCCGCUCAUACUCGCGUACCAUGCGGUUACCCUGCUUUAACUUCCGAAAGGUCUCAUGCAUCCUUCUCUUGUCACUGUCGGGGAAGUACUCCGUGAACAUCAGUCCCCGAAACUCCGCCCAAUCAAUCGGGGGUAAAUCCGGAGAUCUAUCUUGCUUUACCCUCCGCCACCACACUCUAGCCCUCUUAUCGAAACAAUGAGCGGCCAAAAUUACCUUAUCUUGCCCGAGGGUAUAGAUAUCAUCAAACAAGGUUUCCAUUGUGGCUAACCACGUCUCCACCGUCCACGGGUCUACUACCUCGCCAUCGAAGGUCGGAGGACGGAACUUCAUGAACCUUGUGAGCGCCGUGUAGCCGCACUCCCACUCCGACUCCUCGAUUGCCGCGCGGGUUGCAGAACCCGACGCCGCCGCAGGAACACUUGCCGACAGGGGAUGUGCUGCCACCAGAGGCGCCGCAAUGCCCUCACCCUCAGUCGCAACUGGCGUUCGAGCCGAGAGUGCAGGCGGAUCAUGACCCUCGGUUGUCGUCGGGGCCGCCGCCGCCAUCUGUCGCUCUACAAGCCCUUGCAGCUGCUGCACUGCGCCAACUAGCACAGUCAUCUGUGCCCCCAGCUCUUGCACUUCGCUUGACCCGCCUUGCUCAGCUUGCUCAGGCACCUCAGGCGGCGGUGCCGGAACGAAACUACGCACGUAGCAUCUCGGAGACAUUCGUUCCUGAAACGCAACAAGUUGGUUAAUUACCUUAACCCAACAUCUCCUCGCAAUCACGAAACAACACGUCUCAACAACAUAAUCAGGCGGAAGUACGCAAGUGUACUCGUUCUAGACUCUUGGCUUUAUGUCGUCGGACGGCGACACAACCACCUCGAGUAAAGAAGUCAUACCACUUGAGUUCAUCUCUAAUCACUACUAGAGAUACAUCACCAUUUUCGACCCAAUCAAAUCAACUUCCGCCACCGCAUAGGUUCACGUUCCACUCACGCACCUAUGGCCUUAAGGUUUACCAUCCUAGGGUCUCCUAGGCCCAUCCUAGUCUCCCUCUUUACUUGCUCUUAACAUGCUCUGAUAUCAUCUUAUCUGUCACACCCCGAAACCCGCUACCAAUUUGGUCCGGCUCGAGCGCGUCGGACAGACGCCGAACGGACAGCACCUUCCCUGUCCGCCCAAGGCAAAACGACGAGAUCAUGUACAACAAGUUCCCAGGAAAUCAACUUGAAUACAUACACGAUCAACAACAACCACGAGAGCACAACCAGUGCUAAACAACCAAGAGCAAGCAUCACCAGUAGAGUACAUACAAGUGAAUAAAAGAGAGAUACUAACUAACUAUUACAACCAUUCAACCAUUAUUUACAUUGAUUACAUUUACAUUCUUCCAAAACAUAAACAUAAAGUUUACAAUUCUCCAACUUAUCUCACCCUAUACAUCAUCUACUCUCAAGUACAUAGGGUAGCUCUAAUGCAAAAAGGAAGGUAAGCUACUACAACUACUAGGGCGCUAAGCCCCUACCACGAUCCUAAACCGGCGCGCUUGUACUCGGCACUGCAACAAAGUAGGGUGAGAACUACAAAUAGUUCCCAGUGGGUUCGGCCGUCGACUCCGCCGAUCUCCUCACUAGGUCUAAGCAGGCAUUGGCAGAUAGAUAGAUAGAUAACUUGAAAGCGAUAACAAUAAGAAAAGUACAGGUACUCUACCAUUCCUUAAUCUAAUAUAAUGAAUGCAUGCACUACAUAGUAAAGGCUAGCUACUAUGCUACUAUGUCCAACAACGAUGCUAUUCAUUAAAUCACCCAAUCAUUUGGCUAACCCGUGGGCUCGCCUUCUAUCUCGCGUCUCAAUCUCACGGCCCCCUUAUAGGCGCCACAUCUACUCGAUCACACUGAUGAGGAUCCGCUCACUCACCCGACUCACAACACACUCUCUACGGGGAGGAUCCGCUCACUCGCCCGACUCACAACCUACUCUCUACGGGGAGGAUCCGCUCACUCGCCCAACUCACAACACACACACACUCUUUACGGGGAGGAUCCGCUCACUCGCCCGACUCACAACACACUCUCUACGGGGAGGAUCCGCUCACUCGCCCAACUCAACACAGGUACCACAACCCAAUCUCUAUCUCACAGGUGAGGAUCAGCUCACUCACCCGACUCACCUGGGAAGGAUCAGCUCAAUCGCCCAAGACCGUCUGCGGGACCCAAAAGGCUAUCCCUAUCGUGUGACAAUUCCGGAGUGCACUGCUUGUGUGGAGCGACCACCCCAAGCUUUGAAUAGACAUAUGAGUAUGAUCAAAUCCUCAUCACAGAGGAUACCCUACCACUCUAGACAACAUCAUUUGGGAGCUAGUUCAUCCCUAGGUUCAACAUGCAAUAAGUGUUUCCAUUUUACUUUACUUAUCAUGCCACUCGUCAAGUUAUUCAUUUAUCUAGAUGCCACUCGUUCUUUGGUUCUCGUCAGCACAAGAUUAAGUUCAUCAUUUACUUUACCACUAUAGGGUUCUAAGUCACAAGUUCCUAUUCUCAUGCAUCCUAAGUCAAGUGCCAAACUCAUGUUGCUACACUACUAAGGAUCAUGCAAGGAUGGAAAUGCAACUAUUUAAUACCCUAUUAUGCAUAAUAGUUACACUAGUCCACAUGCCAAUAGGUUUUCGCCUACCUAGGAUCAAAUCAACAUUUAUCAUCUCAUUAUAGGGUUACUAAUCAACAUAUCUCAAUCUCAUGCAUACAAGGCUCAAGUGUUAAACAAGUAAUACAACACUACCUCUAACAUGCAAGAAUAUAUAGCAACUAAUUAAGCACCCUAUAAUGCAUCAUGCUCAAAUGCAUAAUUGAUCAACUAUAAUACUUAGACAUAGCGAGCAGUUCAACUGCUUCGGGAUGGUCACCACCUACCUUUUAUAGCGUUCCGAUUGCUCGUCGUCACUCGCAAUCGGCCUCCCGCGGCGCACGCCGCUCUGCUCGACCCAACUCACGCGCGACCACCGAACGACCUCCGAUCUGCAAUCCGAAAAUUAAAGGUCUUCGAUUUCUCGUUACGAUGCUCGGAACCCGAUCCCACGAUUUAUGGAUGCCACCUCGGCCCUCCAGGCAAAAACGAAUGCCGGAAG
Molecule: long non-coding RNA, 6001 nt
Filed under: Ananas comosus (pineapple)
Lineage: Eukaryota; Viridiplantae; Streptophyta; Magnoliopsida; Poales; Bromeliaceae
Description: long non-coding RNA (ACOM_LNC005487)
Source: RNAcentral